This 440-nucleotide ribosomal RNA is filed under the name uncultured Brevundimonas sp. RNAcentral's name for it is "bacterial SSU rRNA". It matches the Rfam family "Bacterial small subunit ribosomal RNA", at positions 338 to 795 of the family's 1533-position model. The record is from RNAcentral. Lineage: Bacteria; Pseudomonadati; Pseudomonadota; Alphaproteobacteria; Caulobacterales; Caulobacteraceae.
CCUACGGGGGGCUGCAGUGGGGAAUCUUGCGCAAUGGGCGAAAGCCUGACGCAGCCAUGCCGCGUGAAUGAUGAAGGUCUUAGGAUUGUAAAAUUCUUUCACCGGGGACGAUAAUGACGGUACCCGGAGAAGAAGCCCCGGCUAACUUCGUGCCAGCAGCCGCGGUAAUACGAAGGGGGCUAGCGUUGCUCGGAAUUACUGGGCGUAAAGGGCGCGUAGGCGGACAUUUAAGUCAGGGGUGAAGUCACAGAGCUAAACUCUGGAACUGCGUUUGAUACUGGGUGUCUUGAGUGUGCGAGAGGUAUGCGGAACUCGGAGUGUAGAGGUGAAAUUCGUUGAUAGUCGAAAGGACACCAGUGGCGAAGGCGACAUACUGGCUCAUUACUGACGCUGAGGCGCGAAAGCGUGGGGAGCAAACAGGAUUAGAUACCCUUGUAGUC